CUGUGAGCUCGAUGAGUAGGGCGGGACACGUGGUAUCCUGUCUGAAUAUGGGGGGACCAUCCUCCAAGGCUAAAUACUCCUGACUGACCGAUAGUGAACCAGUACCGUGAGGGAAAGGCGAAAAGAACCCCGGCGAGGGGAGUGAAAAAGAACCUGAAACCGUGUACGUACAAGCAGUGGGAGCACGCUUAGGCGUGUGACUGCGUACCUUUUGUAUAAUGGGUCAGCGACUUAUAUUCUGUAGCAAGGUUAACCGAAUAGGGGAGCCGAAGGGAAACCGAGUCUUAACUGGGCGUUAAGUUGCAGGGUAUAGACCCGAAACCCGGUGAUCUAGCCAUGGGCAGGUUGAAGGUUGGGUAACACUAACUGGAGGACCGAACCGACUAAUGUUGAAAAAUUAGCGGAUGACUUGUGGCUGGGGGUGAAAGGCCAAUCAAACCGGGAGAUAGCUGGUUCUCCCCGAAAGCUAUUUAGGUAGCGCCUCGUGAAUUCAUCUCCGGGGGUAGAGCACUGUUUCGGCAAGGGGGUCAUCCCGACUUACCAACCCGAUGCAAACUGCGAAUACCGGAGAAUGUUAUCACGGGAGACACACGGCGGGUGCUAACGUCCGUCGUGAAGAGGGAAACAACCCAGACCGCCAGCUAAGGUCCCAAAGUCAUGGUUAAGUGGGAAACGAUGUGGGAAGGCCCAGACAGCCAGGAUGUUGGCUUAGAAGCAGCCAUCAUUUAAAGAAAGCGUAAUAGCUCACUGGUCGAGUCGGCCUGCGCGGAAGAUGUAACGGGGCUAAACCAUGCACCGAAGCUGCGGCAGCGACGCUUAUGCGUUGUUGGGUAGGGGAGCGUUCUGUAAGCCUGUGAAGGUGUGCUGUGAGGCAUGCUGGAGGUAUCAGAAGUGCGAAUGCUGACAUAAGUAACGAUAAAGCGGGUGAAAAGCCCGCUCGCCGGAAGACCAAGGGUUCCUGUCCAACGUUAAUCGGGGCAGGGUGAGUCGACCCCUAAGGCGAGGCCGAAAGGCGUAGUCGAUGGGAAACAGGUUAAUAUUCCUGUACUUGGUGUUACUGCGAAGGGGGGACGGAGAAGGCUAUGUUGGCCGGGCGACGGUUGUCCCGGUUUAAGCGUGUAGGCUGGUUUUCCAGGCAAAUCCGGAAAAUCAAGGCUGAGGCGUGAUGACGAGGCACUACGGUGCUGAAGCAACAAAUGCCCUGCUUCCAGGAAAAGCCUCUAAGCAUCAGGUAACAUCAAAUCGUACCCCAAACCGACACAGGUGGUCAGGUAGAGAAUACCAAGGCGCUUGAGAGAACUCGGGUGAAGGAACUAGGCAAAAUGGUGCCGUAACUUCGGGAGAAGGCACGCUGAUAUGUAGGUGAAGUCCCUCGCGGAUGGAGCUGAAAUCAGUCGAAGAUACCAGCUGGCUGCAACUGUUUAUUAAAAACACAGCACUGUGCAAACACGAAAGUGGACGUAUACGGUGUGACGCCUGCCCGGUGCCGGAAGGUUAAUUGAUGGGGUCAGCGCAAGCGAAGCUCUUGAUCGAAGCCCCGGUAAACGGCGGCCGUAACUAUAACGGUCCUAAGGUAGCGAAAUUCCUUGUCGGGUAAGUUCCGACCUGCACGAAUGGCGUAAUGAUGGCCAGGCUGUCUCCACCCGAGACUCAGUGAAAUUGAACUCGCUGUGAAGAUGCAGUGUACCCGCGGCAAGACGGAAAGACCCCGUGAACCUUUACUAUAGCUUGACACUGAACAUUGAGCCUUGAUGUGUAGGAUAGGUGGGAGGCUUUGAAGUGUGGACGCCAGUCUGCAUGGAGCCGACCUUGAAAUACCACCCUUUAAUGUUUGAUGUUCUAACGUUGACCCGUAAUCCGGGUUGCGGACAGUGUCUGGUGGGUAGUUUGACUGGGGCGGUCUCCUCCUAAAGAGUAACGGAGGAGCACGAAGGUUGGCUAAUCCUGGUCGGACAUCAGGAGGUUAGUGCAAUGGCAUAAGCCAGCUUGACUGCGAGCGUGACGGCGCGAGCAGGUGCGAAAGCAGGUCAUAGUGAUCCGGUGGUUCUGAAUGGAAGGGCCAUCGCUCAACGGAUAAAAGGUACUCCGGGGAUAACAGGCUGAUACCGCCCAAGAGUUCAUAUCGACGGCGGUGUUUGGCACCUCGAUGUCGGCUCAUCACAUCCUGGGGCUGAAGUAGGUCCCAAGGGUAUGGCUGUUCGCCAUUUAAAGUGGUACGCGAGCUGGGUUUAGAACGUCGUGAGACAGUUCGGUCCCUAUCUGCCGUGGGCGCUGGAGAACUGAGGGGGGCUGCUCCUAGUACGAGAGGACCGGAGUGGACGCAUCACUGGUGUUCGGGUUGUCAUGCCAAUGGCACUGCCCGGUAGCUAAAUGCGGAAGAGAUAAGUGCUGAAAGCAUCUAAGCACGAAACUUGCCCCGAGAUGAGUUCUCCCUGACCCUUUAAGGGUCCUGAAGGAACGUUGAAGACGACGACGUUGAUAGGCCGGGUGUGUAAGCGCAGCGAUGCGUUGAGCUAACCGGUACUAAUGAACCGUGAGGCUUAACCUU
This 2548-nucleotide ribosomal RNA is filed under the name Escherichia coli UCI 66. Its description in RNAcentral is "bacterial LSU rRNA". It matches the Rfam family "Bacterial large subunit ribosomal RNA", at positions 397 to 2925 of the family's 2925-position model. The record is from RNAcentral. Lineage: Bacteria; Pseudomonadati; Pseudomonadota; Gammaproteobacteria; Enterobacterales; Enterobacteriaceae.